Lytechinus pictus (painted urchin) is the source of this 653-nucleotide long non-coding RNA. RefSeq lists it as uncharacterized. Lineage: Eukaryota; Metazoa; Echinodermata; Echinoidea; Temnopleuroida; Toxopneustidae. The record is from RefSeq and is a predicted model, not a curated record. The transcript has 2 exons.
GGAUGCCACUUUUCCGUAUUUAUACGGAAUUCCGGCUUUUUUCCUGCUAUCUGUCUUAUUUCCGUAUUUCCGACUUUUCCUGUUUUCUGUGUAUUAAAAAAAACGGAAAGCCCUCCUUUUUUCCCCCCUAUUUCUUCCGAUUGCGAUGCAUGUCGAUCGACCGAGUGAGAGAUAUUUCCCCGAGAUAUUUGCUUUUAUACAGUACAUAAAUUAUAAACCCGCGCACUGCCUACUACGUUCAUUGAGUUAUGCUUUUAUCAAGGCUUUCUGAUUAGAAUUAUCGAUAUCCUGGCCAAUCAAUGCGAGCGACAAGUUCCAAACGCACGCACAUAGACAAGCGCAAAGUAGCGGCACGAAUCGCGGUAUAAUAGCGACUGGUAAAUACGUCUGUACAGAUGAUGACGUCAUCCAAGAUGGCAACUUACGAUGACCAACGAAGGAAUCAAGGAUGACUAAGUUUUGAUCAUCAUUUGAAAGGAAUUAGCGGUAACUGCGGUCUAAGUCUAUGUAUUGGUGAGUGGAGCCAACGCGGUUCAGCUGAACAACCAAAAUACAGACUGAAGCUUUUGGUCUAGCGUUCUAUGAGAAACACACAACUAACUACCGUCAGUUUUUCAAACCUAAUUGACUUCAAAGUCAUCGAUCACAACAAG